Molecule: ribosomal RNA, 440 nt
Filed under: uncultured bacterium
Lineage: Bacteria
Description: bacterial SSU rRNA
Rfam family: Bacterial small subunit ribosomal RNA (bases 89-440)
Source: RNAcentral
GAAGUCAAAACAUAAAGCAGCGAAUAUCCCCUGAUCAAAAAAUAGAUUUGACAGAGAAGAAAGAAUCUGAGACAUUAAAGAUCAACUUACUAUGGAGAGUUUGAUCCUGGCUCAGGAUGAACGCUAGCGGCAGGCUUAAUACAUGCAAGUCGUACGGGAUCCGAGGUAGCAAUACUUUGGUGAGAGUGGCGCACGGGUGCGUAACACGUAUGCAACCUACCUAUAACCGGGACACAACCCACCGAAAGGUGAGCUAAUAUCCCAUAACACUGCGAGAUGGCAUCAUAUUGCAGUUAAAACUCUGGUGGUUAUAGAUGGGCAUGCGCGACAUUAGCUAGUUGGUGAGGUAACGGCUCACCAAGGCGACGAUGUCUAGGGGUUCUGAGAGGAUUAUCCCCCACACUGGUACUGAGACACGGACCAGACUCCUACGGGAGGCU